This 213-nucleotide long non-coding RNA is filed under the name Gorilla gorilla gorilla (western lowland gorilla). RNAcentral's name for it is "lncRNA (ENSGGOG00000044489.1)". Lineage: Eukaryota; Metazoa; Chordata; Mammalia; Primates; Hominidae. The record is from RNAcentral.
GGCCAAUCUUCCAUUGGGAAAGAAGCAGGAUAUCCAGAAUAUAUUGGGCUGAAAGAAAUAGAUCUUACUAAUAUCUCCAUCUGGUCCAGUCAGGAAGAAGCCCCCACUGCUGCUUGCUCCAGUCAACUAAAAUAAAAAAUGAGCUUGAUGGUUUGCCAGGGAUGAACUCGAUCCUAUUGGUCUUCAGCUGCAGCCUAAGAGUUAAGAAAUGCA